AAAAAAAUAACAAAUUUUCAAAAAAAUCGAUCAUGGAUUAAAAAAAAAAUCACAAAUUUUCGAAAAAUUCUAUCAUGGAUUACAAAAAAAAAUUCGAUCAUGGACUAAAAAAAAAAAUCACAAAUUUUCAAAAAAUUCAAUCAUGGAUUACAUAAAAUUCGAUCAUGGAUUACAUAAAAUUCGAUCAUGGAUUACAUAAAAUUCGAUCAUGGAUUACAAAAAAAAACAAACCAAAAAAAACAAAAAAUUCAAUCGUGGAUUACAAAAAAAGAAAAAAACAGUUCGAUCAUGGAUUACAAAAAAUUCAAUCAUGGAUUACAAAAAACUCUAUCAUGGGUUAUAAAAAAAACAAAAAACAAAAAAUUAAAUCAUGGAUUACAAAAAAAAAAACAAACAUUUCGAUCAUGGAUUACAAAAAAAAAACAAACAUUUCGAUCAUGUAUUACAAAACAUUCGAUCAUGGAUUACAAA
This 471-nucleotide long non-coding RNA is filed under the name Amborella trichopoda. Its description in RNAcentral is "long non-coding RNA (ATRI_LNC002056)". Lineage: Eukaryota; Viridiplantae; Streptophyta; Magnoliopsida; Amborellales; Amborellaceae. The record is from RNAcentral.